Long non-coding RNA from Ailuropoda melanoleuca (giant panda), 3050 nucleotides. RefSeq lists it as uncharacterized. NCBI's taxonomy places the organism in Eukaryota, Metazoa, Chordata, Mammalia, Carnivora, Ursidae. The transcript has 3 exons. The record is from RefSeq and is a predicted model, not a curated record.
AGGAUAAAAGGGUUGGACCGGAUGCUGCAGGCCCUCCCGUUGCUAACAUUGCAGGAAUCAUGACUGUUUACGAACUCUUCAACAGUGAACCUUCCAGCAAUAAAAUAAUGCAGUCGGGCAAACGUAUGACAUGUGAAACAAGGCCAUUGUCUUGCUGUUUGUUUGACAUACUUCAUUCUUCAAAAUGAACAUUUGACUCUAAAUGCUUUUGAUAUGGCUAAGCCAUAUCUUUAGCCAAGCCUACCAGAUAACCCGGGUUGCUAUUUUGUGAAUUUUGUGCCAUUAUUUCCCUCCUGAGACCAUGGUGGACACUGUGAAUGGACCACAGGGCUCUCAUCACCUAAAUUGGAAUCUCCAAGGCAUCUCAAGACAGCUUUCCAAGCAGCUCCACGGGUUGACCAGAAGUGGUAAAAGAAUGAAGCAUACUUGCCCUCCCUGAACUAGAAAGUUUCAGUACUAGCUUGCAUUGAGCUCCUCGAUGGAAUUCAUUCAUGCACUCACUAAUUCACUCAGAAAAUAUUCACUAAGUGCCUUUUCUAGGUGCUGAGGACACAGCGGUGAAGAAACCAGGGACUGUGUUUGUGGAGCUUAUAUGAACAAGGAAACAAGCAACUGACUUCGGGAUCCCCUGAAAGGGUUUGCUGGUUCACCACCGUGUCUUCACUCGUGAUUCAUCUCUUCUGAGCACAGUGUUCCUCACCCCAUCAUCUACUCAUCAUUUAAGACAAAGAUCGAAUGUCACCUCAUCCGUGUAAUCUUUUCUGAUCACCGCCUCCAGACAGAAUGGACCAUUCCCUCCUGUGGGUCCUCAGUGUGCCCUGGACAAACUUCUAGCAUAAGCCCUUUAUCACUUAAGGGCACUUCCUAGUUUCCCUGUUUACACGCAAGCCUCUUUUGCUCAUAUUUAUUUCCUACCACUUAGCAUAGAUCUUGGAAUACUUCAUUGUAUAAAGAGAAUGAGUUUCCCUGCAUAUUUAGAUUACACAUGAUAGUUCUGCCAAAGUAGUAAGAGACCAGAUGCAUGGAACAUUCUUACUGAAUGUUAAUGGAAGUGUCAGAUGAGACUUACAGGGGUCUACCUGGCUUUGAGCUAUUAGUGUCCCCACCAUCAGCUGCAUCGCCACGUUGACUGGUGAUGGAACCAACUGGGAAAGAGUUUGUUUGAGCAGGUGCAAAUAUCUAGGGGGUGCGGGCUGUUUUGAAACCUGUUUCCUUGUCAGACACCUCUCGGCAUACACCUCUCGGCAUACUGCCGUGGCCACAUCAUCGGACACAUCUGUCGUGCUUGCUCAGUAACAGGUGGCAUGAGGGACCCAUUAGCUGGUGGGUGCAGAGCUGUUGGAGACUGAGCUCUUCGCUUUAUACCUCCCUGCUACAUGGCCAGCACUGUGGAGUGCAGGCUGGGGAGAAUAAAGAAGCAAACAACUUGUCUAUAUUUGGGGAGGGGAGAGCAUGAUUAUAUCUAUAGAAGAUAUUAAUUGAUAUUUGUCAAGUGGUGCAUUAAUACAUGAGAUGUAACUAGAAAAAAGUAGAGGACUGUACCAUCAAGAGCUGGGUGACGUGUUACAGGUGGUCCCCACUGUGGAUUUUUUCCACGGUCUCUUGACCUUGAUGUUGAAGGCCAAUGUGUGGCUUCUACCGGCUUGUCUGCUUCUCAUGGGCUGGGCCACACGCAGAGGAACGUAAAGAGAAUCCAGAAAUGCCUCUGCCAAGAGCUCCGAGGAGCUUCUCUGCUGCUUAUUCCAAGCGCCUGCCGUGUACUAAGGAACACAUUUGGAACGAGUGCCUGCCCUGCCUCUCCAUCUCGGAAGAAGGUGAUUCAAAACCGACCUGGGGGAGUGAAGGGCUGGCAGGUUUGCGGAGCCCUGGAAAAUUCUAUGGGACGAUUGUGGUCUGAGCCCGCUGCCGUCCAGGGUCCAAAGAACUGCGGUCGCCAAUUACUUUUUUAUGAGCUCUCAUUGGAAAAAGUCAUAAUUGGACACCAAAGGCAAAUGUGCUCCUGGUGAAGAAGACCGAUGGUAGUAAAUUCUCCUGCUCUCCAGACAGCUCCAGCUGCAGGAGCGGCUGUGCCAAGAAGACAUGGUUGCCUGAGCCAGGAUCACAAGUGGCCGUCCUUAGGAGAGAGCAGCUGGCUGGGGCUCAGAUGAGAUGUAAUCAUGACCAAUUUCUGAAGAAAGAUUUGAAAACUUCAACUACAAAUUAUGACAGCCCAUCCUUCCAUAAACCCUGAUUGUGGGGACUUCACUGUGAGCAGCCGGCCAUAUGCAGCUUCUCGGUGAAGCGAAAGUCAAUGUAUCUCCUCGCUUAAUGGUACAAAGUUUCAGUUGACUUUUAAUUUUUUUUUUUUUUUAGCCUUCCAUACAUUUACUUCUUGACUUAUCAGUCGAAUUUGAUACAUAUGGUGUCUGCAGAGCAAGGGCCCAUGCAGUUCACUGCAUCUAAAAAGCUGAUGUAAAUAUCUAUUGCUUGACUGACAUACCGAGUUUUAGCUUUUUAGAUCACAGCGAGACAUGCCUUCGUAUUGAUUAAAUAUCACCUACCAUUGAGUCCGUAUUCACAGAGCUCCAUUGCACACUAGAAGCCCUUUAUAGCUACUGUUGGCUAGCUUUUAACCUCUGAACCUCUUAAGACGGAGUUUUUUGUAGUCCCAUUUGCUUGAUCACAAUCUUCUUUAAUUUUUAUUUUUCACCGAGGUAGAACUUGCAUCCUGGAGGGGGGGAGGGGAUUGCAGUCUCUCUCUCUCCUCUGUGGGUAAGAACUGGCGCAAUGUGUCAAACCUAUCGUGCGCCCAAUGCAGCACCCUGUCUCCAAGCAGGUUCCAAAGGAAGUGUGGGCAAGGGCACGCGGUGUUCCAAAUCUGUCCUCUGAGCAUCAGCUGUAAACACACUCACUCUGGAAAGAAGAACCUAAAGCUUGGUUUUAAAAAGUAAACCAAAAAUGUUAAUAGCAUUCAAUGUUAAUAAAAUGUGUGACCACGUCCCGAUGAGCUCAUCUGUUUUUUGAUUAGCUGCUUAUAUUAACCACAUCACCCUGUGUAACUUGGGUCUCUG